This 460-nucleotide ribosomal RNA is filed under the name uncultured bacterium. RNAcentral describes it as "partial 16S ribosomal RNA". It matches the Rfam family "Bacterial small subunit ribosomal RNA", at positions 338 to 795 of the family's 1533-position model. The record is from RNAcentral.
CCUACGGGAGGCAGCAGUGAGGAAUAUUGGGCAAUGGACGAGAGUCUGAAGCAGCCAAGUAGCGUGAAGGAUGACGGCCCUAUGGGUGGUAAACUUCUUUUAUAAAGGAAUAAAACGAGGCACGUGUGCCUUUUUGCAUGUACUUUAUGAAUAAGGAUCGGCUAACUCCGUUCCAGCAGCCGCGGUUAUACGGAGGAUCCGAGCGUUGUCCGGAUUUAUUGGGUUUAAAGGGAGCGUAGAUGGUUUGUUAAGUAAGUUGUGAAAGUUUGCGGCUCAACCGUAAAAUUGCAAUUGAUACUGGCAGUCUUGAGGACAGUUGAGGUAGGUGGAAUUCGUGGUGUAGCGGUGAAAUGCUUAGAUAUCACGAAGAACCCCGAUUGCGAAGGCAGCUUACUAAACUGUGACUGACAUUGAUGCUCGAAAGUGUGGGUAUCAAACAGGAUUAGAUACCCUAGUAGUC